ACGGUCAUCAAUUACUCUCUCACACUUCUUUCUCUCUCUACAAUGGCCAUGGCUUCCUUCUCCAAACUCUCUAUACACUUGUUCCCUCUUCAUACUCACACACUAAGCAACAUCUACCACUACAACCACUCCUCUCUGCCAAGCUUCACCAUCACAACCCGCCAUGGAACUUUCAUCUUCUUCUCUUCCAAGCUCAAAUAUUGCUCUGCACCCAUUUUCACGCCCGCACAUUUGCUCCAUUCUCCGGCCACCGCAGUUUUCUCAUCCCGGAAUAGCGGUGGAUCCACAGGGAGUGGUGGCAGAGGCGGCGGCGACAGCAAUGACAACGGUGGUGAAGAGGAGGAAAGGGACCGCAACAGGGAAGAGGCCAUGCUGCUGCUGGGGGAGGCCGGCAGGUCGCUGGAGAGUUUUCCGGCGGAUUUAGCGGCAGCUAUUACGGCGGGGCGGGUGCCGGGUUCGAUAGUGCGGAGGUUCUUUGAGUUGGAGAAGUCGGAUGUGUUCCGGUGGCUGCUGAAGUUCGGAGGGUUUAAGGAAAGGUUGCUAGCAGAUGAUUUGUUCUUAACUAAGCUUGUCAUGGAAUGUGUUGUUGUCAUCUUCACAAAGGCUGCUGCAGAAUUGGAACGGCGUAAAGAAAAUUUCACUAAGGAGAUGGAUUUCGUUGUUGCUAAUGUGGUAACAGGCAUUGUAACAGGUUUUGUGCUUGUGUGGUUUCCUGCUCCCACUGUUUCUCUCAAACGUCCUCUUGCAUUUAGUGCUGGACCAAUUGCUAAAUUCUUCUAUGGCUGUCCUGAAAAUGCUUUUCAGGUAGCUUUGGCUGGGACAUCAUAUACACUUCUACAGAGAAUAGGUGCUAUAGUGCGCAAUGGAGCAAAGCUAUUUGUAGUUGGCACCAGUGCUUCACUGGUUGGUAUAAGUAUAACAAACGCAUUGAUCAGUGCACAGAAGGUUGUUAAUAAAACAUUUGCUGCUGAGGCUGAGAAUUUACCUGUAAUAUCAACCAGUGUAGCAUAUGGAAUUUACAUGGUGGUAGUAAGCAACCUCAGGUACCAAGUACUUGCUGGAAUAAUUGAGCAACGGAUUCUAGAACCAUUGUUACAACGAAACAAGCUUAUACUAACAGCAGCGUACUUUACUGUUAGAACUGGCAAUACUUACUGGGGCUCACUAUUAUGGGUGGAUUUUGCUCGAUGGGUUGGAGUCCAGAAGAUAAAGGAUUAAGCAUUAUUUUGCAUAACAGGAUAUUGUUCGGUUAAAGCUUGGGUACAUUGGUUCAUUGAUAGAACUCCAAAUUGUACAGUUGUUCCCAUGGCUGGCCGUAGAAGAUCGUCUAGCACUGGAAAUGAGAGACGACAAGCUACGACAAGACCGUCCGUCUUCGUCAAGGCCACAAGAGGAAGACCCCGCUGCUGUCGACCUCCCAUUCGGAUACUUGUUCGAGAAUGACCCGGUGGUUCAUGAAUCUUUUGUCCGUGACUUUGUUAACCGACCGAUUUG
Molecule: RNA transcript, 1494 nt
Organism: Gastrolobium bilobum
Lineage: Eukaryota; Viridiplantae; Streptophyta; Magnoliopsida; Fabales; Fabaceae
Gene name: protein RETICULATA-RELATED 4, chloroplastic-like
Exons: 9
Source: RefSeq, a predicted model, not a curated record